Molecule: ribosomal RNA, 468 nt
Filed under: uncultured bacterium
Lineage: Bacteria
Description: partial 16S ribosomal RNA
Rfam family: Bacterial small subunit ribosomal RNA
Source: RNAcentral
GACGAACGCUGGCGGCGUGCUUAACACAUGCAAGUCGAACGGAACGGCCCUGCUUUUGUGGGGUGCUCGAAUGGCGAACGUGUGAGUAACACGUGAGUAACCUGCCCUUGACUUUGGGAUAACUUCAGGAAACUGGGGCUAAUACCGGAUAGGAGCUCCUGCUGCAUGGUGGGGGUUGGAAAGUUUCGGCGGUUGGGGAUGGACUCGCGGCUUAUCAGCUUGUUGGUGGGGUAGGGGCUUACCAAGGCUUUGACGGGUAGCCGGCCUGAGAGGGGGACCGGCCACAUUGGGACUGAGAUACGGCCAAGACUCCUACGGGAGGCAGAAGUGGGGAAUAUUGCACAAUGGGCGGAAGCCUGAUGCAGCAACGCCGCGGGCGGGAUGGCGGCCUUCGGGUUGGAAACCGCUUUCGCCUGUGACGAAGCGUGAGUGACGGGAAUGGGUAAAGAAGCACCGGCUAACUACGUG